This 25-nucleotide non-coding RNA is filed under the name Arabidopsis thaliana (thale cress). RNAcentral also lists the same sequence under 3 other names. Lineage: Eukaryota; Viridiplantae; Streptophyta; Magnoliopsida; Brassicales; Brassicaceae. The record is from RNAcentral.
ACUGAACGCCUCUAAGUCAGAAUCC